GCGAUGGUGGCGGAAUUGGUAGACGCGCUAGCUUCAGGUGUUAGUGUCCUUUGGAUGUGAGGGUUCGAGUCCCUCCCUUCGCACCA
This 86-nucleotide transfer RNA is filed under the name Campylobacter jejuni. RNAcentral describes it as "tRNA-Ser(cag)". It matches the Rfam family "tRNA". From Rfam's summary of the family: Transfer RNA (tRNA) molecules are approximately 80 nucleotides in length. Their secondary structure includes four short double-helical elements and three loops (D, anti-codon, and T loops). The record is from RNAcentral. RNAcentral also lists the same sequence under 53 other names. Lineage: Bacteria; Pseudomonadati; Campylobacterota; Epsilonproteobacteria; Campylobacterales; Campylobacteraceae.